RNAcentral lists this long non-coding RNA (465 nucleotides) under Homo sapiens (human). RNAcentral's name for it is "non-protein coding lnc-HNRNPF-2:1". The record is from RNAcentral. Lineage: Eukaryota; Metazoa; Chordata; Mammalia; Primates; Hominidae.
GCUCCUGCUUCUCUGUUCUGCAAGGUCUGUCACCUGCCUCAGGCCACCUUCCAUCCUCCAAAACCAGUGGAUGCCUCUCACUUGCCAUUGCUUGACCCUGUAGGCUGUGCCUUUUAGAAGAGGGAGCAGGGUUUGCCCCAACUCUGCCUUUGUUCUUGGGGGGAUGAGCGGAGGGAGGCUCAGGUCCCUUCCUCCACAUCCCUUCUUCCCUCAGGCGUGGCCACAGCAGACCUAGAUAGGCCCUGAGGUGCCGACAGCUUCUACCUGUCCUGGCCCAGAUGUUCUCUCUUAUUUUUCUCUCCUUCAGUUUUCUUCAUGUGAUUGAAGUGUAACACACACAGAAACAUGCCUGAGCCAGUGGGGCCAACCUUAGAUGCUCUUUGUGCCUGGUGUCCUUGACUCCCUGCCCUUGCCUGUGGUUGUCUGGGUGGGUUAUCCUCGGCCUGGAGCGUUCCAUUGAGUGAC